RNAcentral lists this transfer RNA (80 nucleotides) under Ixodes scapularis (black-legged tick). RNAcentral's name for it is "tRNA-Ser". It matches the Rfam family "tRNA". Rfam says of the family: Transfer RNA (tRNA) molecules are approximately 80 nucleotides in length. Their secondary structure includes four short double-helical elements and three loops (D, anti-codon, and T loops). Further hydrogen bonds mediate the characteristic L-shaped molecular structure. tRNAs have two regions of fundamental functional importance: the anti-codon, which is responsible for specific mRNA codon recognition, and the 3' end, to which the tRNAs corresponding amino acid is attached (by aminoacyl-tRNA synthetases). tRNAs cope with the degeneracy of the genetic code in two manners: having more than one tRNA (with a specific anti-codon) for a particular amino acid; and 'wobble' base-pairing, i.e. permitting non-standard base-pairing at the 3rd anti-codon position. The record is from RNAcentral. Lineage: Eukaryota; Metazoa; Arthropoda; Arachnida; Ixodida; Ixodidae.
GCAGUCGUGGCCGAGUGGUUAGCGAUAGAGUAGAAAUCCAUUGGGGUCUCCCCGCACAGGUUCGGAUCCUGUCGACUGCG